Hippocampus comes (tiger tail seahorse) is the source of this 98-nucleotide small nucleolar RNA. The record is from Ensembl. NCBI's taxonomy places the organism in Eukaryota, Metazoa, Chordata, Actinopteri, Syngnathiformes, Syngnathidae.
CUGCACUGAUGAUCUCAGAUUUGUCUGACUUGGUAUUGUUGCCCUACGGGUCAAUUCUGACCAGGAAAUGACCUCCAUUUAAUCUUCUCUCUGAGCAG